RNAcentral lists this ribosomal RNA (253 nucleotides) under uncultured bacterium. RNAcentral describes it as "partial 16S ribosomal RNA". It matches the Rfam family "Bacterial small subunit ribosomal RNA", at positions 524 to 776 of the family's 1533-position model. The record is from RNAcentral.
UACAGAGGUGGCAAGCGUUGUUCGGAAUUACUGGGCGUAAAGGGCGCGUAGGCGGCCGCCUAAGUCAGACGUGAAAUCCCCAGGCUUAACUUGGGAACUGCGUCUGAUACUGGGUAGCUUGAGUUCGGGAGAGGAAUGUGGAAUUCCAGGUGUAGCGGUGAAAUGCGUAGAUAUCUGGAGGAACACCGGUGGCGAAGGCGGCAUUCUGGACCGAAACUGACGCUGAGGCGCGAAAGCCAGGGGAGCAAACGGG